AACGAACGCUGGCGGCAGGCCUAACACAUGCAAGUCGAGCGCACCCUUCGGGGUGAGCGGCGGACGGGUUAGUAACGCGUGGGAACGUGCCCAGAUCUGCGGAAUAGCCACUGGAAACGGUGAGUAAUACCGCAUACGCCCUUCGGGGGAAAGAUUUAUCGGAUUUGGAUCGGCCCGCGUUAGAUUAGGUAGUUGGUGGGGUAACGGCCUACCAAGCCGACGAUCCAUAGCUGGUUUGAGAGGAUGAUCAGCCACACUGGGACUGAGACACGGCCCAGACUCCUACGGGAGCUGCAGUCGAGAUCAUUCACAAUGCACGAAAGUGUGAUGAUGCGACGCCGCGUGAAGGAUGGAA
This 355-nucleotide ribosomal RNA is filed under the name uncultured bacterium. Its description in RNAcentral is "bacterial SSU rRNA". It matches the Rfam family "Bacterial small subunit ribosomal RNA", at positions 29 to 413 of the family's 1533-position model. The record is from RNAcentral.